RNAcentral lists this ribosomal RNA (253 nucleotides) under uncultured bacterium. Its description in RNAcentral is "partial 16S ribosomal RNA". It matches the Rfam family "Bacterial small subunit ribosomal RNA", at positions 524 to 776 of the family's 1533-position model. The record is from RNAcentral.
UACGUAGGGUGCAAGCGUUGUCCGGAAUUACUGGGCGUAAAGAGCUCGUAGGCGGUUUGUCGCGUCGUCUGUGAAAACCAGCAGCUCAACUGUUGGCUUGCAGGCGAUACGGGCAGACUUGAGUAUUUCAGGGGAGACUGGAAUUCCUGGUGUAGCGGUGAAAUGCGCAGAUAUCAGGAGGAACACCGAUGGCGAAGGCGGUUCUCUGGGAAAUAACUGACGCUGAGGAGCGAAAGCGUGGGUAGCGAACAGG